CAUGAACCACUCACUACUACUCAUCAUCUACAGACCAUUCUCUCUCUCUCUCUCUCUCUCUCUCUCUCUCUCUCUCUCUCUCAUGUUGGUUGAUAAUCGUCAAUUAAGUCCUGCAGAUUGGACCAAGUUCAUGUUUUUAACUCUUUUUAUGCAAAUCUCUAAUUUCAUUUGCUGAAAGACAUCUAUAUAUAAAGUACGCCAUUUCAGUGUAAAAGAGAGAAAAAGAAAGAGAGCUUUCUUCAGUCCACUCAUGGGUGCCAUAAGAUAUCAAUUAGCUGCCGACUCAUUCAUCCAAAUACUAAGUCAAAAAACCUGUUGUAGUACUUAGUAAAUGAGUGAAUGAUGCGGGAGACAAAUUGAAUCUUAUGUUUCCUGUACUUGGACUGAAGGGAGCUCCCUUUUGGUCCAGCUCAUUAUCAUGAUCUGUGUUUAAAUUAGUUUUUUUUUUCUUUAAAAAAGCUAAAAUAGGGUUUAUCAGUUUCAAAUCAGGAAAAUGCUAAUACUAAAUAAGUAAAGCCCUUUUUAAUCCUUUUAUUUCAGUUUUAAAUCAAGAUUUCUGUUGAAAAUAUCAAAUUUUCUACUUUUAACUGGUGGACGAAACUAGGGUUUUUGCUAAGUUUACUUCAAGAUUUUUUGUCUGUGUUCGUAUCUUUUUCACUUGUAAUUAAUUUCUUUUUGUUUUUAGGUCAAGAUUUAUGCCAAGGUUAUCAAUGAUUACGCAUUUUCAAGAGUUACAUCAACUUAUCUUUCAUUGUUUCGAUUUUUAAAUUAAAUUACGAUAUAACAUUUUCAAAGAGGUACAUAAACAAGUAUAGGUAGGGUUUGUGUACUUUGUCUUGUAAGGGUCGAACACGAAACCCACAUUCUUGUACUAUGUGCAGUGUUUGUGAUACCUCGAAUAUGUGCAGUUUGUAGGGUUUUUGAAGUUUGUUUAUUUAAAGUCACACGUCCAUAUAUAUGAUCAUGUAACCAAGUAUGACACCAGCUUAAUUCUUUUUGUUAAAUUGCAGCAGUAUUUGACAUAUUAAUGUUGAGAUGUUCGAUUCGUGAUGAAACACACCAAAACCAUGUGUUUUAAAGCUUCAAUACCGUGUAUGAAGUAUAUACAUUAGGUUUCUGUUGAACCCGAUGAUAAAAUCCGGGUGUUGUACGUGGUGCAGUAUGUGUAGUACGUUGAAUCAUUUGAGUUAUAUUUAGAUAGGGUUAGCAUGCAGCAGAUGGGAUAUGACAAUGCUCUGCUGUCUUGGAUUUUGCCCUAGCUAUUCUGUAACAAGUUCCGAGACGCUCAUGUCUUCCAGUUGGGUGCAAUUACCAAAAUAUCCUCCUUUUGUACAGCAGGAAAAUCCGACAGUUUCUGAAGGGUUUUAGUAGCAAAAGCGUGGAGAAUUGUAAAGCCAAUCUGACCCCCAGUCGAUUUCAAGAUUUUGUUAUUUUUUUUUUUUCUUGAAGUUUUCUAUUAUUUUUAGAUUUUAAAUGUAGUAGGUUUUCACCUUUGUAGCUUUGAUUUAUGUAAAAAUUUAACCUGUUUCUUUUAAUCUUUUUUGUGAAGGAGCCAGUACAUGAUUUGUGUUUUUUAUUUUCUUUAUUUUGCAUAUUAGUAUUUUUAGAUAAAAUGAACAUUUCUCGGUCGAUUUAUUCGAG
This 1641-nucleotide long non-coding RNA is filed under the name Lactuca sativa (garden lettuce). Its description in RNAcentral is "long non-coding RNA (LSAT_LNC006745)". The stretch from base 219 to 410 matches the Rfam family "MIR159 microRNA precursor family". The record is from RNAcentral. Lineage: Eukaryota; Viridiplantae; Streptophyta; Magnoliopsida; Asterales; Asteraceae.